CCCACCCGAAGCCUUCUUCUUCUUCCUCCUUCUUCUUCCUUUCCUUUCCUUUCCUUCUUCCUCUCGGGCCCUCGCCGUUUCUUCGUUUUCGGCCACCAAACGGCCACACGCGUUGGCCACCGAUGAAGCCCAAUUCCCGGCGACCCCGACCUCCAAGUUUCCCGGCCAGACGUUGCCGGACCCGCCCAAAUCGGGCCGGUGAAGUCGGCAGCGGCGGGUUGAAUUUUUCCGGCGAUUCUCACCGUUUCCGGCCAACCCAGUCUGGUCUUCCACCACUUUCCCCCUAUUUUAGGUCAUCUGAGUUCAAAUAUGGCCUCCAAUUGUUUAAAUUCGAAGUGGUUCGAAAGUUAUGAGGAGAUGAAAUUCGGCCGGUACUUCCGGGGCAAAUUCCGGCCACCACCAGUGGAAUUGGGGUUAAUGGAGGUCGGUGAUGCGAUCCUCGUUCCAUAAGCUUCGUUUCGGAGCACGUGUGCGUUAUGGAAUCGAUCCUAUGGUGGAUCGUGGUUUAAUUGCGUGCUUAAGGUUCAAGGAUUGGGAGACGUUGAUCGUCCGGGAAGAGCCCGACGUCUCAGUUCAUUGCCGAAAGUCCAAGAAGCAUUUCUUCCCUUUUUGUUCCUCUCCAUCUUGUAUUGCUUCCUUAUCUGACAUUGUAUUAAUUCCACAUUUAUUUUUAUAAUGCUCUGUAUACUGUAUUGGACAUGUAGUUAUUAUUUAUGCACUGAUUUACUGUUA
Molecule: long non-coding RNA, 732 nt
Organism: Ziziphus jujuba (common jujube)
Lineage: Eukaryota; Viridiplantae; Streptophyta; Magnoliopsida; Rosales; Rhamnaceae
Exons: 3
Source: RefSeq, a predicted model, not a curated record